Long non-coding RNA from Columba livia (rock pigeon), 4119 nucleotides. RefSeq lists it as uncharacterized. Lineage: Eukaryota; Metazoa; Chordata; Aves; Columbiformes; Columbidae. The record is from RefSeq and is a predicted model, not a curated record. The transcript has 2 exons.
CGGGUCCACCAGCCAGAGUCUGAGCUCACGGAGAGGAGGGCUCACAGCGUAGGGACCCUGAUAUCCAGGUCAGGGGACUGAGGGAAACCCUCCUUCCUCAAACAGCUCCGGUUUUGGAGCUGGAAAAGAGAGGGGACGAUUUAUCUAAUCCCUCUGCUUUCAUCUUUAGUUUGUCCUAAUUUCCUACUCCCGCCCCUCCCGCUGACUCGACCCCGCUGGGACAUUGCCCGGGAGCGGCUCACUGCUGCCUGGCGCUGGCCCUGCGGGCACGGAUGGGCGAAGCGUCGGCAGUGAUGCCCGGGGCUGGGCUGCUGCCCGGGACUGGGCUGUUCGGCGGGCAGCGCUCGGCUCUCUUCCCCUCUCGCACGGUUCAGCCCGACGGGUCGGGUUUUCUUUCACUCAGCGCCAGACUAAACGGGAACCGAACCCCGCAGCCUCCGCGGACCUUGUUCUGGGUUUCGAUCUGGGGGAGAAACACCAGGAAGGGUUUGCAGCCCGGGCCCGGGGGUGCCCGGCUGGACCCCGGCGCUGGGAAGGUGCGCUCGCCCCGCCAGGCCCCCGCCGGUGGCUGGGCCGUUCCGCGGAGCCGAAACGCGUGCGCUGGGCAGCUGCCGGAGCGCCCCGCAUGACAGCGGAAUAACAAACAGCCUGAAUGCAAUGUGCCACUCGGGAAACCUCGGGGCGUGUGUCCGUGCGGCAGGGCCCUUAGCUCUGGCCAUGAAAGCCCCGAUUUCACGCAGGAUCUGCUCCGCGCCCUUCUCCGCCCCCCUGCGCGCCUUCCAGCCGGCUCCGCUCCGGGCCAUGCACCGCCCCCCGGCCCCGACCCCAACCAGCGUGUCCGGGGGGAUUUAAGCUGUUGGAAGUGAACACGAAGAGAUCGGAAGCGUGUGGUGUGUGCUCUGGAAAAACAACUAGUUUCAGAUUAAUGAAGGAGUGACAAUUUCAAGGCUCAAGUUGGCACUGCCCAUGCCAGAGCGUGGGGAGCUCGCCAGGCUUUGCUUUAUAUUGUCUACUUUUCUGAAGAGCAGACAAAGAUGGAUAGAGAGACAUUGAAAAGCAGGAGGCGUAUUUCAAACAGUUCAAUAAAGAGGGUUGUCACUUAAAGACAAGAACCAUAGUGCUUUGAUGACUUUGUAUUAGCCUCACCGUUUCAAAUAAGUGACUCUACUCUCUUUGCGGAAUUUACCGAGUUUUAGUAGAUGACACUUCAGUGAAGCCACUUUAGACAGGAGCAAGAGCUUGUAACGGCGGGGCAAAACUCCUCUUAGGGCGGGUUUUGCAAAGAAGAUUGCCGACCGGGGCCUGUUUUUUCGUCCUCAAAUUGAGUAACGUCGGUGAAAGCAAGGUUUACAAUUUACAUGGAACCACUGUGAAAAAGUGAGAAAACUCUUCGGCUCUGUGUGGAUGUAAAGAAAGCGACGGGGAGAUAUCGAAAUGCCGGGGGGAGACGCUGCUUCCCGGCAGACCCCGACAAUACCGAGAAGGCUUUUUAAAAAACACUUUCUACGUCCUCCGAGAAAACACCAACUCGACACGUUGAAAAUAAAGUUGUAUGUACCCCCCCGAGGCAGCUCACGGGUGUCCUCACCCGCGCAAGGCCAAGCUCUUGUCCCCCCAGGUUCCCGGCCCUCCCCGGUUCCCAGGCGCUUUGCUCUGGGUGAGAGGACACCUCUCCCCUGCCCAGGGGGCAGCCGGACUGCCCCAGCCCCGGUGUGCGUGCGGCGGGGAGGGAAGUAGGGCGCAGCCCCUCCGGCUUAUCAUUUUUGCCAAACCCUAGGAUUUAUUAUUAUUAUUUUAUUUUUAUUUUUUUUUUUAAAAAGAGUGGGACCCCCGACCGCUGCAGCCCCCCAGGCUUUGAAGGCACAGCUAAAGGGCUUCACUGUGGAUUUGAGCGAACCAUUUAGUCACUGUUUCAUUAGGCACUAUUUGAACCUUGCAACAUGUGGUAAUUUCUGGGGCAAGCUGAAAAGGGGGGAUUAUGUAGGAGGGACACAAGGAAAUUAGCUAACGGUUAAUUUAACUCGUUUUCUGGUAGAAUUUUCGAUACAUUCCUAAUUGACUGAGGAGGCAGGUGAAGUCUUCAGUUCCAGGCAGACUCAUUCACCGUGAGAAUAAAUGGCUCUUUUUCAACUCACACUGCUCACAAUAUAUCAUCAGGGAAAAGACAUGCAAUGAAUAUGUUGGGUUUUUUUAUUAUUAUUAAUGGAAUUACACCCUGCUACGCAGGUGUGAGGGUAAAAACCUAUACUGCGAUGAAAUCAGAUUAACAAUGAAACGAGAAUUUUAUUAGCUUUCUAAGUCACAUAGACCUGGAUUUAAACUGUCAAAACAAGAAACAAGAGGUGGAAAAAAGAUACUCCGAAGGCAACAGUGCCAAUCAACGGGCAGAAGUAGUAGCUUGAUAUAUAAAUAAUAAUUAGCUGUAAUUCGCUGUCAGUAUCCACACCCUACAUCUAUACUGUUUAUAUCACAUAGACAAUGUAUGAUUAACCUAUAAUGGCAAAUCUGUUUUGAGUCCGUGGUUUGCCACUUAACCCUAAUCACCCCGAUUUGCUAUAUAAACGCGAACAUUUGUUCAUGAAGUCCGAGUUUCGAUAAAACAUUAGAUAGCGUAGGAAAUAAACCCUGGCUGAGACCCCUGCUGUGCUCGCAAGGGAAAAGGGCUCAGUCGGAUCGGCGUGUCCUGGCGGCAUUCGGGAGCCGCACGGGGAGCAGCGGGACAGGAGCCGUGACCCUGCAGCUCCGCGGAGCGACUGGCUGGAGGUGACCGUGCGGCAGGCAGCUCCAGGAAGAGGCGGACGGGGAUGGCCCGCACCGGGAGCAGCGUGUGGGUGGAGACUGCACCGGGCACCGUGGGAGUGACGGGUUGAAGGUGACCUUGCACCGGACACCGGGAGCGGCGGAUUGGAGGUGACUCUGCACCGGGGAGGGGUCAACUGUAAGCCUGCCAAAGGGCUUUCACAGACUGAGGAGCACCAAACCCUAGGACAGACUGAAGGCCAGCCAAAGAAGAGAAAAUACUGGAGACCUCAGGUUAAGACUGACCCAGACAUAGUGUUUCCUCUUAAUUUUUACCUUUCGAAGCCAAUGGGCCAUAAUAUAUGCAUGGCUAUAAGGAAAAUACCAUUUCAGACUCCAAAAUUCAAGGUGUCUGAGAAAUACCUUACAUGACGUAGUCAUCUUACUUUAAAUAAUUCAACUCUUGUAAUAACAGAUGAGUUUUCGUUCAGAACUAGUGCCACUGCCCACAGAACUGUGUAUCUCAAAAUAGGAUGAAGCUUAGGCCAGAAUGUGGUCAACUAUACAUGCGGAAGAUGCAAAUAGUAAUGAGCCAAGAAGUAUACUUGACAUAUGACAUGUGCAAUGCAUUUGAACAAAAAUUUGGUAUUUUAAUUUUUCCCCAGUGGACUUAGAUUUUAAUUAACCUACCAAUAUUAUCCCAUUCUUCUAUAACAGUUGUCAAAUCAGUUGUGGCUUCAUAUUCUCGAUGUUGCUACAGAAAACCAAGUAGACACCCCCAGUUUAGGUACUAUAAAGGAGGGAUACAUUGCUUUUUGCUUCAAUUCCCCUGAAAGGCUGGUCCUGGCUUUUGAUGCAUGUUCUGGAGAAGACAGACAUGGAUCCUAUGCUGACUUUUACUAAACUAGUAAUAGUAGACACCACAAAGCAAUUUAGACAUGUGAGUGAUUCAGCUGAGUACAGGAGAACUGGGUUGGUGAGUCAAUCUUGCUUGUGUAAAAAAUGCAAUACCUCUGAGGUAGAGCUGGGAUACUGGCAGAAAAAAAUGCUACUUGAUGCCAACAGCAUCAAUUUUCAUGUUGCUAUCAUCAUUUUCACCUGCUCCCACAGUUUUGUUUUGAGAUUGCAUUUUUUUUGCUCAGUUAAAGGAAAGCUGGAUUUUAACAAAUUAAAGAAGAGCCAUCAGGAGGUGGUGUUUUGUUGUUGUUUGUUUGUUUGUUUUGAGGACCUGACAAUUUUUUACAGGCAAAACAUACCAGCUCUGAAGUCAUUGUAUUAAAAUGCUGAUGCCAUUAAAAGUUCACAAAACAGAGGUGGUUGGUUGGUUUGCUUCCUUGCUUUUGUAUUGCCUGUUUCCUCUUCAUAAAACAUAUUUCGGGA